UUUUGACAUUUGUAAUUUGAAUGAGAUACAACCCUAGUUUCCCAGAACUCAGUUUCUUCUAUCUAUAUAAGUAAUUUUGUUUGCUCUUUGGGGAGCUUAAAGUUUUUGAUGUUUAGAAACAAAAUAUUUCUAGUAGGUAACUAGCAUGUAAAGCUUUUUCUUUUAAUAAUUGUUUUCAAGCUUUAUUUUUUUUGGUAGGACAAUAUGUUUCUCUUUGUUUUAAAUUUUAUUUGUAUGGUAAAGCCUUGGAGGAUUUUCUGAGGGCAGCAGAGAAGAAAUUGUUGGAAUGGUCUCUUUUUGUCACAUUGAAAUUAGUCAAAAUUACUGUAUUCAAAUUUUAAUGUAUUUCUAAGAAGCAUUUUGUUGCAGUUAUCAGUCAUUCAGAUGGAUUAUGGAAAGUUAAUUUUGGGGAACAAAGCUUUGUCCAUUUCAAUGUCAAUUUAUUAUUUCAUUAUUGAAAUAAUGAAUCACACUAAUUUGAGUAAUUGAUUUUUCUAAAGAUUUUGGACCCAAAGUUAUAUUUAGCUUAGAAUUAUUAGUGAGUAGUACUUAGCCUGUAUAUAGUGAGAAACAUGGAAAGAAGGUGAUAUAUGAGUAACUGAAUGUAGAUGGAGAGGUAUCUAUAAGAUCUGAGUGGAUGAACUGUUCAGUAGAGUGAAUGCACCUUGCUUUAUACAUUGGUUGUAUUGUAAGUUUAAACUUUAUAAACUAAUUAUAUUUGAAAUAAAAAGAAUGAUUA
RNAcentral lists this long non-coding RNA (739 nucleotides) under Bos taurus (domestic cattle). Its description in RNAcentral is "long non-coding RNA NONBTAT010847". Lineage: Eukaryota; Metazoa; Chordata; Mammalia; Artiodactyla; Bovidae. The record is from RNAcentral.